UUUUGACCUGCCUGUGUUUCUAUCUGUUCCAGUCUUCAACAAAUGGCAGAUGAACCCAUAUGACAGAAGCACAGCUUUCGCCAUUGGACCAGACGGACUGUGUUGUCAAAGCAGGGAGUUUAAAGAAUGGCACGGCUGUCGCUCUACCAAAGCAAUCACCAAGGGGAAGUACUACUAUGAGGUAUCAUGUCACGACCAGGGCCUGUGUAGAUCGGCUGGUCUACCAGCCAGGCACUUUGGACUUAGGCA
Molecule: long non-coding RNA, 249 nt
Organism: Salvelinus sp. IW2-2015
Lineage: Eukaryota; Metazoa; Chordata; Actinopteri; Salmoniformes; Salmonidae
Source: RefSeq, a predicted model, not a curated record